Non-coding RNA from Schistosoma rodhaini, 45 nucleotides. Lineage: Eukaryota; Metazoa; Platyhelminthes; Trematoda; Strigeidida; Schistosomatidae. The record is from Rfam.
AUCCGUAUGACGAGUCCCAGAUAGGACGAAACGCGCAUCCUGGAU